This 406-nucleotide ribosomal RNA is filed under the name uncultured bacterium. Its description in RNAcentral is "partial 16S ribosomal RNA". It matches the Rfam family "Bacterial small subunit ribosomal RNA", at positions 29 to 526 of the family's 1533-position model. The record is from RNAcentral.
AUUGAACGCUGGCGGCAGGCCUAACACAUGCAAGUCGAGCGAGCGGCGGACGGGUGAGUAAUGUCGGGGAAACUGCCUGAAGGAGGGGGAUAACUGCUGGAAACGGUAGCUAAUACCGCAUACCAUCAGAUGGGCCCAGAUGUGAUUAGCUAGUAGGUGGGGUGACGUCCCACCUAGGCGACGAUCCCUAGCUGGGCUGGGAGGAUGAGCAGCCACACUGGAACUGAGACACGGUCCAGACUCCCACGGGAGGCAGCAGUGGGGACUAUUUCACAAUGGGCGCCAGCCUGAUGCAGCCACGCCGCGUGUGUGAAGAAGGCCUUCGGGUUGUAAAGCACUUUCAGCGGGGAGGCGUUACCCUAAGAAGAAGCACCGGCUAACUCCGUGCCAGCAGCCGCGGUAAUAC